GCACUCUGGGUAAAGCCAGCUGCCAUGUCAUAAGGAGAUCAAGCAGCUCCACAGAAAAGUCAGCAUGGCAAGGAGCUAAGGCUUUCUGCCGAUAGCCUCUGAGGGACUGAGGCCUCCAGCCAACAGCCACGCAAAUGAGCCAUCAUGGAAUCAGAUCAGCCCAAGUUAAACCUUCAGCUUCUUGGUGAUGGCUUACCUGAAUCAUCAUGACAGACUCAGUCAGAGUCACCUGGCCCUGAAUCCUUGACCCACAGAAACUCUGAGCUAAUAAAUGUGUGUUGUUUUGAGCUGCUAAACAAAAAGAUCUCAGUGACCAGCUGCUGGAGGUGGUCGGCUUGGAAGGAGCCAUGGAGAUGGGGCAAAUAUACACAGGCCUGAAAAGUGCUGGCCGGCGGCUGGCUCAAUGCUCCUGCGUGGUCAUCAGGACGAGCAAGUCUCUGCCAAUGCAAAUUGAUGGGGAGCCAUGGAUGCAGACCCCAUGCACAAUAAAAAUUACACACAAGAACCAAGCCCCAAUGCUGAUGGGCCCGCCUCCAAAAACCGGUUUAUUCUGCUCCCUCGUCAAAA
This 567-nucleotide small RNA is filed under the name Pan troglodytes (chimpanzee). Its description in RNAcentral is "processed transcript". Lineage: Eukaryota; Metazoa; Chordata; Mammalia; Primates; Hominidae. The record is from RNAcentral.